UCCGGGCUCUGCGAGAUGACCUUGCCGACCUUGGUGGGGUCGGGGGUCUCCUGCUCGGUCCGGGAGACCUGGAA
Molecule: transfer RNA, 74 nt
Filed under: Streptomyces sp. NBRC 13847
Lineage: Bacteria; Bacillati; Actinomycetota; Actinomycetes; Kitasatosporales; Streptomycetaceae
Description: tRNA-Thr
Source: RNAcentral